This is a long non-coding RNA of Aedes albopictus (Asian tiger mosquito), 509 nucleotides long. RefSeq lists it as uncharacterized. NCBI's taxonomy places the organism in Eukaryota, Metazoa, Arthropoda, Insecta, Diptera, Culicidae. The transcript is spliced from 3 exons. The record is from RefSeq and is a predicted model, not a curated record.
CGCAGAAUCACCUACGCCAUUUUUGUCACUUCUGUCAAGGCGCCUUUUGUGAGCGGCAGUGUUUUCCGAAGUUGAAAGUGAAAAAACUCUAUAUUCCGGCACAAAACUCCGGCCAGUUUCAUCAGCAGCAGAACAAUCAAGCUCACACGGCGAGCGACAUGGAACAUAAAAUCAGCACGCGCUUGGAUUUCCUUAAGGAAAAAUUCGAGAACCUUAAUUUGCAGCCGCAAAUUGUUUCGGUUGGGGCAUCGCGGGGAGAAGGAGCGGUGCUUGUUAUUUUCGGGGGAGCGGAGUACAAGGCAGACCACAUCCUCCAUGCCAUUUGCAUUUGCAUGCAAGUGAUGUAUGUUUUGAAUCUCCAGUAUGCACCAGACUGCAAGCCCCUCUGGAUGUUCUUGCAGGCUUAUCUGUUCAAAAUCCCAGCGGUAGAUCUACCCAAAAGCACCCGCGAUUUACUGCGGGCUAUUGAGUAGGUUGAAGGCACAAUGAUGAAUAAAUAUUGACAAAUA